RNAcentral lists this ribosomal RNA (325 nucleotides) under Shigella sonnei. RNAcentral's name for it is "bacterial SSU rRNA". It matches the Rfam family "Bacterial small subunit ribosomal RNA", at positions 1 to 322 of the family's 1533-position model. The record is from RNAcentral. Lineage: Bacteria; Pseudomonadati; Pseudomonadota; Gammaproteobacteria; Enterobacterales; Enterobacteriaceae.
AAAUUGAAGAGUUUGAUCAUGGCUCAGAUUGAACGCUGGCGGCAGGCCUAACACAUGCAAGUCGAACGGUAACAGGAAACAGCUUGCUGUUUCGCUGACGAGUGGCGGACGGGUGAGUAAUGUCUGGGAAACUGCCUGAUGGAGGGGGAUAACUACUGGAAACGGUAGCUAAUACCGCAUAAUGUCGCAAGACUAAAGAGGGGGACCUUCGGGCCUCUUGCCAUCGGAUGUGCCCAGAUGGGAUUAGCUAGUAGGUGGGGUAACGGCUCACCUAGGCGACGAUCCCUAGCUGGUCUGAGAGGAUGACCAGCCACACUGGAACUGA